UCCUGAGUAAACUGCUUGCAAGAAGAGCUCCGGUGUUGCAUCUUCCUUGUUGGUCGAGGCGGUCGCACAAGUGGUGGCCCGUAUGGAGAUUCUCAUCUCCUCUCCCUGGAGCCCAGAACUUGCAGCAGUCAGGGGGUGCACCGGUAAGUCCUCAAGCAAAGACAGUGAAAGAUUUGCCUUUACCUUACCAUCAGUCAACCAUGAGGAACCUGAUAAAAGAUAUCAAUGGAUUAUCCUACCUCAAGGAUCAUUUGGACCCUAUUUGGGUACUGGAGUGCUUGGUGAGAAAAGUACAAGUGCAGAGGAACGACAAGCAAGAUGAAGCCUCAGACUGUGAUCCUACUGAUGGUGACGGUCCUGAUGUUCCCGUUGUAACAAGAGCUCCUUGCUAAGAGAAAUAACCCAGUUCCCAUAAUUUGCAGGUCAGUCUUCAAUCACCUCCUGGCUGUAAUCAGAUCCCAGAAACAACCCCUUCCAUCAAAGCUGAGCACUGUAGAGAUGUCCCCCACCGUGGCUGGCAGGCCACCAAGACCUGCUGUUCACCAACAGAUGAAGACAGGCAGGAAACUGUCCCAAACUGUUGUUCCUAUAACUGGUGGCUUGUUCUUUUGAAUGACAUCUGAAACAACCCCUGGAGUUCACACACAACUUUGGAAUGUUUCCCAAGCAAAACUCAAUAGCAUCCUCACAGUGCCCAUUUUGGUAUUCUUUCUAAAUUUUUUAAUCUUUGCUUUUAUGUGCAUAGGUGUUUGCCUCUAUGUAUUUCUGUGCAUCGAUGUUGUCUUCAGAGUUCAGAAAAUUCCACUGGGACUGGAACUUCAAAUGGCUGUGAGCCACCAUGUGGGUGUAGGGGUUUGAACUCAGAUCCUGUGGAAGAGCAACCAGUGCUCUUAACCACUGAACCAUCUCUCCUGCCCUGUCAGUCUUGUUUAUUCAAACCUUCUCCCGCCUUGCUUCUAAACUCUCUCUCCUGCAUCCAACACACACAGCUUUCCCAUACUUUUCUACAUCCACUCUGGAACUCCACAGCCUGUCUUCCACUGGAGCAGAAGGUUCCCAGUAGGGAUGAUGUGAGGAUCGCUUCCCUUGAAAAAACUCUGUCCAUAAGUGGUUCCUACUUGGCUUCACAUGGGACAAAUACCUCUGAGUCACCUUCAGAUAUUCCCAUGGGCCUACAUCCAGCCAUGACCACCACGGGAAAAAAAUCCUUAGCCAGGAUGGAAAACCCUUACUGACAGUGCAACUCUUCCUUCAGAUUUUGUCAGGGAGCCUAGCCAGAGGUCAAGAGUAGGAUCAGAGUUCCUCUGGCUAGGUCAGCUUUCUUCAACAAAGACUGGUUUUCACUUGACUGUUCAUAUACACAGAUGGGCAGCUCAAUCCCUGUCACAUCAAUAUGCCCAAACGCAAGAGUAAGAUCUAGUAAAGUAUUUGCCAACCUCUGAAUUCAGCAAGAAAAUGUAGAGCUGCAGCAUGCUGUUACCAGCAUGGUCAUGUUGUAAGCUGUGGAUUUUCUAAACAGAAACCUUGACGUACUACAACAACAAUAAAACUCAGAUCAGUCUAGCGUCCCUUCCUGUAUGCAAUGAGUGGCUUAGUCUCCAAGGAAGGAGGAUUUCUCAUGCAUUUUAUUAUCUAAAAGAAGCCUGGAGUAAAAAUUCAGUUCCUAAAAUGUCAUGUGAUCAUUCCCUGGGCAUUACAGAGAAGCAGCCACGUCCUUGGCAGUUCGUAGGCCCAGCACGCACCCUAUGUAAUGCACAGCUCUGGACCACAUACCUGCAGGUGAAACAGCAUCUUGGGAGGAGUAACCUGUGGCUGGAGGCUUAGAGAUGGUGGUGAUGAGCCAUAUCCAGCACAUCUCCAGAGUAGGUAGAUGCCACACUAUGGCCCAGGGUCAAAUGGCAACACCCUAAAACAUGCCCUAGACACAGUGUGUGCCUGGAAGCUUGAUAAAGAACCAACUUCUAUGUUCCCCCAACCCAAAGCCCUUCCCCUAAAGAAAUCAAAGAGAAAGAGCCAUAAAAACUGCAUUUUAAUGAUACAGAAAUAGUGCAUAGUAUAUUUCUUUCCACAGCAGUACUUCAUUUGUCUCUAAGUUUAACAAAAUUAAGGCUACAUUGGAGCAUACUGACAGAAAAGGGACUGUUUUAUACAAUGUUAUUCAUGUUUUCAUAAACAAAAGAAGAUUCUUCAGGCAAAAUUUUUUAACAAGAUACCAGUAAAGGAAAUGGAAUACAAAAUGUGUUCCUUUGGGUCAGCCUGAUAAUAAUAACCACACACCCCCAGGGAGUAUCCGUGGGAUUUUUUUAAUGAAUACUUCGAGGAUGAGGACGACUCUCCAGAGAUAACAUUCCACAGUACAAGGCUACUUCAUAAUUUAAAACCAAAGACAGUUGUGUCUCCAGUAUAAUCCCUUUAGAAUAAAUAACUAGUGAACAUCAACAGUAUUUAAAAACACAAGAGAACUGUGCAGAGGCCAAUGGUGCCUGGAAGGAUAAUCCCUACAUCAAUAGCCCUUCUCCCUCAAAUCUGUUAGGAAGAAAUGAGAACUAAAAUAUGAUGGCACAAAACUAUCCCCAAUAUUCCCACUAUUCACUCCUCCUGGCCAUCUCUGCUGCUCAGUUUGUCACCGCAUUUGGACCCAAGAGAAACCCUUUAGGAUUUAGAAUAAGACAAAGCAAAGACCCUCAACAACUCCAGCCAGUCCACCGCCUAAUGAGACAACCGUCAGAAGCUUACACAGGAGCCUAAUUCCUUGCCAGGAAGUCACUUUGACAUCAUUGAUUAGAGGGCCAAGGCCCGAAGCCACAGAAGUUUGCCUUCACACAAGUCCUGUCCUCUGCUAUGACAGGUAGUUCACGGCCUCCUCAGGCCCCUUUCUGCUCACCACUUUCACCACUACAUCCUCUUCUCCACCUAUCCCAGCUGCAUUAGGACACUAAACAACUAUCUCCCCGAUGAAGAAUUGGGGGUGGUGCUGGAAUCCCCAAGCCCAAGGAGGGCAGUCUUGUUUUUAAACAGAGGUCUCAUGACCUACCUGCUCUGAGAAGGAUAGCCUACUUACGACAUGAAGACCUGUCAUCUGGUAGUAUGGGGGUGCAGGCAAAAUCUUCCCAGAAGUUAAAUGUUUACAUUAUUAAGUAGUAG
Myodes glareolus (Bank vole) is the source of this 3144-nucleotide non-coding RNA. The record is from RefSeq and is a predicted model, not a curated record. Lineage: Eukaryota; Metazoa; Chordata; Mammalia; Rodentia; Cricetidae.